RNAcentral lists this ribosomal RNA (548 nucleotides) under uncultured bacterium. RNAcentral describes it as "bacterial SSU rRNA". It matches the Rfam family "Bacterial small subunit ribosomal RNA", at positions 355 to 896 of the family's 1533-position model. The record is from RNAcentral.
UGGGGAAUUUUGGACAAUGGGGGCAACCCUGAUCCAGCAAUGCCGCGUGAGUGAAGAAGGCCUUCGGGUUGUAAAGCUCUUUUGUCAGGGAAGAAACGGYKCNGGCUAAUACCCUGAGCUAAUGACGGUACCUGAAGAAUAAGCACCGGCUAACUACGUGCCAGCAGCCGCGGUAAUACGUAGGGUGCGAGCGUUAAUCGGAAUUACUGGGCGUAAAGCGUGCGCAGGCGGUUGUGCAAGACAGAUGUGAAAUCCCCGGGCUCAACCUGGGAAUUGCAUUUGUGACUGCACGGCUAGAGUGUGUCAGAGGGGGGUAGAAUUCCACGUGUAGCAGUGAAAUGCGUAGAGAUGUGGAGGAAUACCGAUGGCGAAGGCAGCCCCCUGGGAUAACACUGACGCUCAUGCACGAAAGCGUGGGGAGCAAACAGGAUUAGAUACCCUGGUAGUCCACGCCCUAAACGAUGUCAACUAGUUGUCGGGUCUUAAUUGACUUGGUAACGCAGCUAACGCGUGAAGUUGACCGCCUGGGGAGUACGGUCGCAAGAUUA